Molecule: ribosomal RNA, 497 nt
Filed under: uncultured bacterium
Lineage: Bacteria
Description: partial 16S ribosomal RNA
Rfam family: Bacterial small subunit ribosomal RNA
Source: RNAcentral
GAUGAACGCUGGCGGCGUGCCUAAUACAUGCAAGUCGAGCGAACGGACGAGAAGCUUGCUUCUCUGAUGUUAGCGGCGGACGGGUGAGUAACACGUGGAUAACCUACCUAUAAGACUGGGAUAACUUCGGGAAACCGGAGCUAAUACCGGAUAAUAUUUUGAACCGCAUGGUUCAAAAGUAAAAGACGGUCUUGCUGUCACUUAUAGAUGGAUCCGCGCUGCAUUAGCUAGUUGGUAAGGUAACGGCUUACCAAGGCAACGAUGCAUAGCCGACCUGAGAGGGUGAUCGGCCACACUGGAACUGAGACACGGUCCAGACGCCUACGGGAGGCAGCAGUAGGGAAUCUUCCGCAAUGGGCGAAAGCCUGACGGAGCAACGCCGCGUGAGUGAUGAAGGUCUUCGGAUCGUAAAACUCUGUUAUUAGGGAAGAACCUAUGUGUAAGUAACUGUGCACAUCUUGACGGUACCUAAUCAGAAAGCCACGGCUAACUACGUG